This 445-nucleotide ribosomal RNA is filed under the name uncultured bacterium. Its description in RNAcentral is "partial 16S ribosomal RNA". It matches the Rfam family "Bacterial small subunit ribosomal RNA", at positions 354 to 796 of the family's 1533-position model. The record is from RNAcentral.
GUGAGGAAUAUUGCGCAAUGGAGGCAACUCUGACGCAGCCAUGCCGCGUGCAGGAAGAAGGCGCUACGCGUUGUAAACUGCUUUUAACCGGGAAGAAACCCCAGGACGUGUCCUGGGUUGACGGUACCGGAGGAAUAAGCACCGGCUAACUUCGUGCCAGCAGCCGCGGUAAUACGAAGGGUGCAAGCGUUAUCCGGAUUCAUUGGGUUUAAAGGGUGCGUAGGCGGAGCGUUAAGUCAGUGGUGAAAUCCUGCAGCUUAACUGUAGACUUGCCAUUGAUACUGGCGCUCUGGGGUGCGCUUGAAGGGGGCGGAAUGUGCCGUGUAGCGGUGAAAUGCUUAGAUAUGGCACAGAACACCAAUUGCGAAGGCAGCUCACUAAGGCGAUACUGACGCUGAGGCACGAAAGCGUGGGGAUCGAACAGGAUUAGAUACCCCAGUAGUCC